This 131-nucleotide ribosomal RNA is filed under the name Helianthus annuus (common sunflower). Lineage: Eukaryota; Viridiplantae; Streptophyta; Magnoliopsida; Asterales; Asteraceae. The record is from RNAcentral.
GGGGUCACCCAUCCUAGCACUAAUGCACCGGAUCCAUCAGAAUCCCAUCAGAAUCUGCCGCAGUUAAGCGUGCUUGGCAGAGAGUAGUACUAGGAUGGGUGACCCCCUGGGAAGUCCUCGUGUUGCAACCC